This 426-nucleotide long non-coding RNA is filed under the name Anas platyrhynchos platyrhynchos (common mallard). RNAcentral describes it as "lncRNA (ENSAPLG00000024393.1)". Lineage: Eukaryota; Metazoa; Chordata; Aves; Anseriformes; Anatidae. The record is from RNAcentral.
AUGCCUUCCCAGCAUGGUGGGAGAAGAGCAGGACCCAGGCAGGAGCGUGUUGCUGUUGGGAGUUCCCACAGAUGCCAGUGCCAGCUUGGGAAGCUCAUAUGCCCCUGUCCCCAGCGCCACUCCGUAAGAUGCACCAGGACAGCUGUUCGCAGGGCGACUGGAGAAACCAAGAACAGAACCAGGAAGAAUCCCUCCUUUUUAAGUAAUGGAACUUCAGUAGACCUGCAGUGGCUGGCUGGUUUGACGACACUUACCCUGAAGUGGUACCAUAAGGGGCACUCAGCUGAAAGCAGAGAGGUAAUCAGAACAUCCCUAGAUGGAGAGGCUUCAGCUGCUUUAUGCCAUGGUCAAACUGUACUCUUUGGACUACUAGAAAGAAUGAUAUUCAGGUUACGAUGGAGCAAAUUCCUUUGGCACUUGAGCUGA